This 264-nucleotide ribosomal RNA is filed under the name uncultured bacterium. RNAcentral describes it as "partial 16S ribosomal RNA". It matches the Rfam family "Bacterial small subunit ribosomal RNA", at positions 90 to 354 of the family's 1533-position model. The record is from RNAcentral.
UCUUAGUGGCGGACGGGUGAGUAACGCGUGGGUAACCUGCCUUACACUGGGGGAUAACACUUAGAAAUAGGUGCUAAUACCGCAUAAGCGCACGAAGCCGCAUGGAUUUGUGUGAAAAACUCCGGUGGUGUAAGAUGGACCCGCGUCUGAUUAGCUUGUUGGCGGGGUAACGGCCCACCAAGGCGACGAUCAGUAGCCGGCCUGAGAGGGUGGACGGCCACAUUGGGACUGAGACACGGCCCAAACUCCUACGGAAGGCAGCAG